RNAcentral lists this long non-coding RNA (358 nucleotides) under Phascolarctos cinereus (koala). RNAcentral describes it as "lncRNA (ENSPCIG00000037064.1)". Lineage: Eukaryota; Metazoa; Chordata; Mammalia; Diprotodontia; Phascolarctidae. The record is from RNAcentral.
UAGAGCUUAUUGAUAAACAUUCACCAGCAUAUCCCUGUGUAUGGUGUUGCAGAAAGAUCCCUGAAUUUUGAAUGGAAAGAAAUGAAGGCCCAUAAUAGGGUGGAGAUACAUACAUAUUGAUCAACCAACAGCAAUGCCCUGCUAUCCCAAAACCUCCAGGGCUGCCAUUGCCACCCAGCAGGUCAGUGGAUUUCCACCAUAAGUUGACUCAUGCUCCUCUGGUUAAAUGGGGAGAAGGCACCUAGAAAGUUGAUCCUAUGAUCCUCUCCUCUGGUUAAGUGACAGUUUACAUCACUUAAUUAAAAGUAAGUAGAGCAGAUAUGCAGAAUCAGAAAGACUUGGUUUUGUUUAGGAAUCU